Molecule: long non-coding RNA, 476 nt
Filed under: Carica papaya (papaya)
Lineage: Eukaryota; Viridiplantae; Streptophyta; Magnoliopsida; Brassicales; Caricaceae
Description: long non-coding RNA (CPAP_LNC005077)
Source: RNAcentral
UUCACCCUUUCCAAAAGUUUACCUUGCAAUAGAGAAGGUGUAGAAAGGGAUUAGGGCUUCAAAUUUAUACAUCAUAUUGACUUAUUUAAUGUUAUAUAUAGUUAAAAUUUUAAACUAAUAAAAUUAUGUCUUUAUUUGGAUCUAAUUCCGAUUUAUGCACCAACAUGGACACUUUUUCUAUUAUGCAAUCAUAAUUAAUUUCAUCAAUGUUGUUCAAAUUUAUCAAGUUAAACUGCAAAAUAACAAAACAUAAAAGAGAAGUCCACCACAUCUGCCCCUUUCCUAAUGUAAAAUCAAGAAUUUUUCUUAUUAUCAUGUUUCUCACUAAAUUGGCCAUGUCAUUUUUCUAUGUCGUGUGAAUCAUAAGUCCAAAUACUACUCAAGUAUUUAACUCGAGCCAUUUAAUCAACAUACUCAAUGUGUUACCUGACACUCAAUAUUCGGCUAUAAGACUUUAGUAUGAAAUCGAGUAUAUU